Long non-coding RNA from Ostrea edulis (European flat oyster), 979 nucleotides. RefSeq lists it as uncharacterized. Lineage: Eukaryota; Metazoa; Mollusca; Bivalvia; Ostreida; Ostreidae. The record is from RefSeq and is a predicted model, not a curated record. The transcript is spliced from 2 exons.
GUCAAAACUUAUGAUGACGGAGGUUUUGAGGUACAGAUGUUUUAGCCUGAUUACUUCGAGUUCUCAUAAAAUUGGUGGAAUUGUGUGCAUCGGGGAAAUGCAACAGUGAUUCACGUUACCCAGAAAGGAUACUAGAAGUGAUGUUUAUCCCAUUUCCAAACCCAAAAUCACAUAAAGAUUAAUAAGGCGUGUGGUAGGCCCCACAGUAUAGUAAGAGCAGAAUGGACCGGCACACAAAAUUCAUUGGAUAUACUUGUAACAGCAGCACAAGUCAGAGAAUUUACAAGACCAGUUUACAACAUCAGAAAAUGCCUUUCAUCAACAGAGAAUACUUAAUCAUCACCUGCAACUCCAGUUAUCAAUGGAAGCCCAAGAUUAACCCCACCAACCGGCCUCCCUUUUUGACAUUAACAGUACUCUAUAGCAAGAGAAAAAAAACCAGGGUUGUUUUUAUAUUAUAUCAAUUUGAGAUAUGCCACAUUUUGUACUUUGUUAGAGUUUUUUUUAUACAUCUGAGCAAAUUCCCCAGUGUGUAAAAAAAGGAGGGACAUAACAAAUAUGACAAAACAAUCGCAGUUGUUAUUAACACUGAUGAGGCUGAGACAUAAUUUUGAAAUCAAGGACUUGACAUCAAGAUUUUGUAUUUCAACACAGUGUAUCAGUGAUGUAUUCUGUGCCUGAAUUGACCUUAUGUUGUGUUAGGUUGUGUUUCAAUAUAGUCCUAUAGGAAUGAUAUUAACAACAUGACAACUGAAUAAAAGCUCAAUUCCCAACAAAGAUCGCUAUCAUUGAUUGUGCAGAAAGGAAAUCACAGAAACCAUCUUCUUUAAAACUGCAGUUACAAAUUAUACAUUCUGACUACAGAUCAGCUACAACCUAAAGGGGACUUGUGGAUUGUGAUCCUUUAGGGGACACAAUGGAAACUAGCUGUAUGCUAAUUUGUGUUAUCUUGGAUAAAUAAAGGCUAUUAUUAUUAUCA